GAUGAACGCUGGCGGCGUGCCUAAUACACGCAAGUCGAGCGAACGGACGAGAAGCUUGCUUCUCUGAUGUUAGCGGCGGACGGGUGAGUAACACGUGGAUAACCUACCUAUAAGACUGGGAUAACUUCGGGAAACCGGAGCUAAUACCGGAUAAUAUUUUGAACCGCAUGGUUCAAAAGUGAAAGACGGUCUUGCUGUCACUUAUAGAUGGAUCCGCGCUGUAUUAGCUAGUUGGUAAGGUAACGACUUACCAAGGCAACGAUGCAUAGCCGACCUGAGAGAGUGAUCAGCCACACUGGAACUGAGACACGGUCCAGACUCCUACGAGAAGCAGCAGUGGGGAAUCGUCCGCGAUGGGCGAAAACCUGACAGAGCAACGCCGCGUAAGUUAAGGAGUACUUCGGAUCCUAAAACGCUGUUAUUAGGGAAGAACAUAUGUGUAAGUAACUAUGCACAUCAUGACGGUACCUAAUCAGAAAGCCACGGCUAACUACGUG
Molecule: ribosomal RNA, 497 nt
Filed under: uncultured bacterium
Lineage: Bacteria
Description: partial 16S ribosomal RNA
Rfam family: Bacterial small subunit ribosomal RNA
Source: RNAcentral